GAUGAACGCUGGCGGCGUGCUUAACACAUGCAAGUCGAGCGAAAAGGCGCGGAGUUUGUGGCGCGCACGUUUGGCGAGGAGGGGAGUGAAACGCGAGGAAAAUGUACUUAAAUGUGUGGGAAAAUUAGGGAAAACGGGCGCAUAUAGCAGAUGAUCUACUGAUGCAUGUGGUUGAUUAGAGAGUGUCGGCGGUAGGGGAUGUACUGGCUGCUUAUCAGCUUGAUUGGGUAGUAGGUGAGUACCAAGGCUUUGAAGGGUAGGCGGCAUGAGAGGGUUACCGGCCACCUUGGGACUGAGAUACGGAGCAGACUCCUACGGGCGGCAGCAGUGGGGAAUCUUGCACAAUGGCCGGAAGCCUGAUGCAGCAACGCCGCGUGCGGGAUGACGGCCUUCGGGUUGUAAACCGCUUUCGCCUGUGACGAAGCGUGAGUGACGGUAAUGGGUCAAGAAGCACCGGCUAACUACGUG
Molecule: ribosomal RNA, 468 nt
Filed under: uncultured bacterium
Lineage: Bacteria
Description: partial 16S ribosomal RNA
Rfam family: Bacterial small subunit ribosomal RNA
Source: RNAcentral